ACGCACGCUGGCGGCAUGCCUAACACAUGCAAGUCGAACGAGACCUUCGGGUCUAGUGGCGCACGGGUGCGUAACGCGUGGGAACCUGCCCUUAGGUUCGGAAUAACUCCCCGAAAGGGGUGCUAAUACCGGAUAAUGUCUUCGGACCAAGGAUUUAUCGCCUUUGGAUGGGCCCGCGUUGGAUUAGCUAGUUGGUAGGGUAAAAGCCUACCAAGGCGACGAUCCAUAGCUGGUCUGAGAGGAUGAUCAGCCACACUGGGACUGAGACACGGCCCAGACUCCUACGGGAGGCAGCAGUGGGGAAUAUUGGACAAUGGGCGAAAGCCUGAUCCAGCAAUGCCGCGUGAGUGAUGAAGGCCUUAGGGUUGUAAAGCUCUUUUACCCGGGAUGAUAAUGACAGUACCGGGAGAAUAAGCUCCGGCUAACUCCGUG
Molecule: ribosomal RNA, 432 nt
Filed under: uncultured bacterium
Lineage: Bacteria
Description: partial 16S ribosomal RNA
Rfam family: Bacterial small subunit ribosomal RNA
Source: RNAcentral